Molecule: ribosomal RNA, 784 nt
Filed under: Ornithobacterium rhinotracheale
Lineage: Bacteria; Pseudomonadati; Bacteroidota; Flavobacteriia; Flavobacteriales; Weeksellaceae
Description: bacterial SSU rRNA
Rfam family: Bacterial small subunit ribosomal RNA
Source: RNAcentral
GAGAAUUAAUUUUCGGAUUAAGGAAACCGGCGCACGGGUGCGUAACGCGUAUGCAACUUGCCCUUAUCAGGAGGAUAGCCCGGGGAAACUCGGAUUAAUACUCCAUAAGAUUUUGAUUGGCAUCGAUUAAAAUUGAAAGAUUUAUUGGAUAAGGAUAGGCAUGCGUCAGAUUAGUUAGUUGGUAGUGUAACGGACUACCAAGGCGAUGAUCUGUAGGGGGCCUGAGAGGGUGAACCCCCACACUGGUACUGAGACACGGACCAGACUCCUACGGGAGGCAGCAGUGAGGAAUAUUGGACAAUGGAGGGAACUCUGAUCCAGCCAUCCCGCGUGCAGGAAGACGGCCCUAUGGGUUGUAAACUGCUUUUGUAUGGGGAUAAAUCUACCUACGUGUAGGUAGUUGAAGGUACCAUACGAAUAAGCAUCGGCUAACUCCGUGCCAGCAGCCGCGGUAAUACGGAGGAUGCAAGCGUUAUCCGGAUUCAUUGGGUUUAAAGGGUCCGUAGGCGGGCUGAUAAGUCAGUGGUGAAAUUUUGUCGCUCAACGAUAAAACUGCCAUUGAUACUGUUAGUCUUGAGUGAUAUUGAAGUAGCUGGAAUGUGUAGUGUAGCGGUGAAAUGCAUAGAUAUUACACAGAACACCGAUUGCGAAGGCAGGUUACUAAGUAUUAACUGACGCUGAAGGACGAAAGCGUGGGGAGCGAACAGGAUUAGAUACCCUGGUAGUCCACGCAGUAAACGAUGCUAACUCGUUUUCGGGGAGUGAUCUUCGGAGACCAAGCGAA